This is a long non-coding RNA of Cyprinus carpio carpio, 840 nucleotides long. The record is from Ensembl. NCBI's taxonomy places the organism in Eukaryota, Metazoa, Chordata, Actinopteri, Cypriniformes, Cyprinidae.
UUCGAUUCAAUAAACCGGUUGAAAAAACCGGUUCACCGGUUCGUUUACGCUCGACGUAAUGACGUCAUUGGCGAUGACGUAAUGGCGUCAAGUCUAUCAAACAUUCAAAUAUACAAAGUCAAUAAUCAUAACUUUAGUCAGUUAAAAACCUCAUAAUCAUGAAAAGUUUACAAUUAAGUUUUGCAACAACGCACCCAAAUACAGUAACAGCAAUAAUGUGCAUACGAGGAUUUAAGUCUUGAAGAUAUAAAGUAAAUAAAUUAGGUGUCAUCAGCGCAGAAACCAUGAUCCACUUACUAUACAUAAUCCAUUGCGAUUUAUUUGUUAUUAAAUAAACUUACGUUUCGCCCUUCAUUCAAGCCUGCGGUUUACCCGCGCUCAUAACAUUAGCACACAAUCAGUUCAGAAUCAAUCACCGAAAGAACCAGUUCGGUUCAGACGCGCUGUGUGUCAGUCUGCUUCACGCUGAAUCACGCAUGCGCAGUAUCAUCAGCUCCUCGGUUCUCAAAUCGGACGCGUCCGACAGAAACGGUUCUCGGUUCAGUGUACUGGUGAUCCGAAAACCGAUGCAACCGGUUCUUGACUCGAGAACGAGAACCGCUCUAACCGGCACGCUGCAGUUCAGUAUCCUCAGCUGUUGCGCUUCUUGUCCGCUGAUCUUCACUGCGCUGGACUCUCUUAUGACAUCUGGAGAUACUUUUACUCUAGGAAAUUCUGCAACAAAACAGUUCAAUCAGUCAUUACAUCUCUUUACUGACCAUGUUUACAUGCAUCAUUUUCCAACUACAGUCCAUGUAUAGGUUUAACCUUUAAACAAACUUAUAAAUGUCUUUACAACAG